UUGUUACAAAUCAUCUAUCUUCUUGUUUGCUUAGAUUAGGAAGGUUUGUGUAUUCUUGGUGUUAUAAGUCUCUAGUUCUCUGUGGAUUCGAUCCUAAAAUGCUACAAUGACAUACCAUUCGAUUGUGGUAUUGUUGGCACAUUAGGUUAAUUGGUGUGUGCUUAAACGCGUAAUCAAUUAACUAUAUAUCUGGUUGUUUUUGAUGUUACAGGGUUAGGAUCAGUGUCGAGGGAUAUGACCUUUCCCUUCGAGCCGUUGAUCUCGACAUUUCCUUGGUGAACCACUUCAGCUCUUGUGGAAACGUGGAGUUCGUGAAGGUGCCGAGAGACCCGGUGACCAAUGCUAUUAACGGCACAAGUACUACUGUGGUUCUCGGCGGGAAAGGUGCAGCAGAGAAGGCCUUGGCCCUCAACGGAAGUGACGUGGGAGGAUGGAGAGCGUCCGUCAAGAUCUUACCACCAGCGCUAAGUAGUCUGAGAUCUGGGUUGACUACUCGUGAAGCGGCACGUCAAUACGUCGCCCACUUCAAAAGAUACAAGAGCCGAGGCAUUACUGUUAAAGGAUAUGAUUAUUUGCUCUGUGAGGCUGAUGUCAAGAGGGCUUUGGUUAACUAUUUCUCUUCCUGUGGAGAGAUCACCGAUGUUUUUGUUUUCAAAAGACGUGCUUUGGUCUACUUUUUCGAAUAUGAAGCAGUGGAAAAUGCUUUGAAGGUUUGUCGACCAAGUCAAAGACGUGUCACGGGGACGUGUUUCCGUGCUAGAGCUAUGCCGAUACCGAAACGGUUGAUUGUUCAUGGCCCUGACUCCUGCCUUGCUACUCCUACUUAUUGAAGAUCGUCUUUUGUUUUAGACAUUAUAAUCUGUGUAUGGCUGGAUGACUCGGGUUUUAUUUUGUUAAUUUAGAUGGUUGUUUUAGUCUUCAGCACUUAAAAAGGAUAUUAUGAAACUUCUAAUUAUUUAAAAAAGUAUUUAGUAA
Molecule: long non-coding RNA, 975 nt
Organism: Brassica napus (rape)
Lineage: Eukaryota; Viridiplantae; Streptophyta; Magnoliopsida; Brassicales; Brassicaceae
Exons: 3
Source: RefSeq, a predicted model, not a curated record